AUGGAGCAGCAGCACGGGCAGGACUCCGAGGCUCCGCUGCUGGCCGCCUCGAAGCCCGAUGGCGCCGCGUCGUCGCCGCCGCCCCGCAACAGGUUCCCCUUCUUCUGUGCCGUGCUCGCCUCCAUGACCUCCGUCCUCAUGGGCUACAACGUGGCGGUGAUGAGCGGGGCGCAGAUCUUCAUGGCGGAAGACCUUGGGGUGAGCGACACGCAGAUUGAGCUGCUCUCCGGUGCCAUCAACAUCUACUCGCUCGUCGGCGCGCUGCUCGCUGGCUGGACCUCCGACCGCCUCGGCCGCCGCCUCACCAUUGUGCUCACCAACGGCUUCUUCCUCGUUGGCCCGCUUAUCAUGACGCUCGCCGGCGGGUACACGGCGCUCAUGGUGGGGCGCUUCAUCGCUGGAAUCGGCGUCGGUUACGCGCUCGUAAUCGCGCCGAUCUACGCUGCCGAGAUCGCGCCGGCCUCCUCCCGCGGCCUUCUCAGCUCCCUUCCCGAGAUUUUUAUCAACACCGGGGUGAUGCUGAGCUACGUUUCCAACUUCGCCUUCUCGGCGUUGCCAGCGCACCUGGCGUGGCGGCUGAUGUUCGCGGCCGGGGUUGUGCCCACCGUGUUUCUGGCGGCUGGCGUGCUCACCAUGCCGGAGUCGCCGCGGUGGCUGGCGAUGAAGGGCCGGCUGGACGAGGCGAAAGCCGUGCUCGACAGGACGUCGGACACGCUCGCCGAGGCCGAGCAGCGUCUGCUGGAGAUCGAGGAGGUUGUCAACGCCGGCAGCAACGGCGCCGGCGGGAGCAACGGCGGUGGCGGCACGUGGAAUGAGGUGGCGACCAAGGCCGGCGUCAGGCGCGUGCUGGCCACAGUUCUGGCGCUGCAGUUCUUCCAGCAGGCGUCGGGCAUCGACUCGGUGGUGCUCUACGGCCCGCGCGUGCUCGCCAUGGCCGGCGUCACUUCUAACACCCUCCUCCUGGGCCUCAACGUCCUCUUCGGCGUGGCCAAGGCGGGCUCGAUCCUGAUCGCCAUGGCGCUCGCCGACCGCGUCGGCCGGCGCCCUCUGCUACUGGUGAGCACCGGCGGCAUGACGGCGUCCCUGCUGGUCCUGGGCUCCGUGUUCGCUGCUUUCGCCGGCGCCAAGGACGACGCGGCGGUGGCCGCCGUGGCCGUGGCCGCUGUGGUGGCGUUCGUCUGCACCUUCUCCGUCGGGUUCGGGCCUAUGGCAUGGGUGUACAGCUCGGAGAUCCUCCCUCUGCGGCUGCGCGGACAGGGCGCCGGGCUCGGCACCGCCAUGAACCGCGUGAUGAGCGGCAUCGUCACCAUGACCUUCAUCUCGCUCUACGGGGCCAUCACCAUGGCCGGCGCAUUCUACCUUUAUGCCGCCGUCGCGGCUGCCUCGUUCGUGUUCAUCUACACCUGCCUGCCGGAGACCAGGGGCCGGAACCUCGAGGACAUGGAGCAGCUUUUCCGCACAAAAUGA
Molecule: ribosomal RNA, 1467 nt
Filed under: Triticum aestivum (bread wheat)
Lineage: Eukaryota; Viridiplantae; Streptophyta; Magnoliopsida; Poales; Poaceae
Description: partial small subunit ribosomal RNA
Source: RNAcentral